UGUGGUGGCGAUAGCGAGAAGGAUACACCUGUAACCAUGCCGAACACAGAAGUUAAGCUUCUUAGCGCCGAUUGUAGUGAGGGGUU
This 86-nucleotide ribosomal RNA is filed under the name Enterococcus faecium. The record is from RNAcentral. RNAcentral also lists the same sequence under 1 other name. Lineage: Bacteria; Bacillati; Bacillota; Bacilli; Lactobacillales; Enterococcaceae.